Manis pentadactyla (Chinese pangolin) is the source of this 4220-nucleotide long non-coding RNA. RefSeq lists it as uncharacterized. The record is from RefSeq and is a predicted model, not a curated record. Lineage: Eukaryota; Metazoa; Chordata; Mammalia; Pholidota; Manidae. The transcript has 3 exons.
CCCGGCUCUGCUGUGUGACCUUGGGCAAGCCAUCACCCUCUCUGGUGAACUCUUAGGAAGGAAGGCAAGAACCAGAAGAUCUGGGAAGGGGCUGGGCUGGCAGGGGCAUGAGGUGGGAUGCACUAGGAGACGCUGACUCAGGGGAUUGAGCGAUGGCGGCAGCAGGGUGGACGCGUGUUUGGACAGCUGCAAGUCCUUAACGGGGAUUUCCCCCCUUUUCAACAAAUCCCUGUAAAACGGCGUUUUGUCCAAGUCAGCGUUUUGUGGCAGCCUGGGCCUCCUCCGAGGCGGCCAGCGAACUCGCUGGGAGCGGGUAGCGCUCCAGGAUCUUUCAGACCACUGUGGGGAGGAGGUAGGGGGCGGGGGUCUGGGCCUUGCAGGAAGAGGAAGUGGUGAUAAUGCAGACCCCUCCUCGCUGGACAGGGCUGAGGGAGCUAACAGCGACUCCUCCCAGGGCCCUCUCUCAGAGGGUCCUGUCCCGGGAGGCCAGCAGAGGGCCCAGGUGAGCCUCUGCAGUUAGUUCAAAGGCCUGCCCAACUCCGCAGCCCAUUUCACCGAUGAGCUAUCAGGUCCAGACCGGAAGGGGGGGUCUGAUGCAGGGGCUCCCAGUGGACCAUGCAGGGGUGUGGCUGGCGUGGCCUGACAGCCCCCCUCCCAGUGGGGGUGGAUGGAACUCAGCCCUGGGCAGGCUCCUGUCGCUCAAGCCCCCCACCCCAGACAGGCAGCGGCAGCUGAGGGAGCCGUGGGGAGCGCUCAGGCAGCCCCGGGGCCUGGCCAAACCACAGGAGCCAGGAAUCUCAGCCCAUCCAGGUUGCAUGGGGACAGAUACCUCCCAAUUCAAAACUUUCCAAGAAUCUGAAUGGAAGCAGGGCCAGGUCCUCACCAGAAUCCAACCAGAAUUGGUAUAACACCAAACAGAAGUCUGGACAAAAGCCCCAGGUGCUGCACCCUGACGAUGCAUGUGACCAGGGACCACUCCUCACUUCUAUGCAGAUUUCUAUCUUUAUCUGCCAAAAAGAAAAUUCUCUGGGUUCCAGCCACCCAACGUUGGAGCCUAGGGAAGGCCUGGAUGGAACCCUCCUCUUGCCACCACUUCCCUCUGUCAAGCUGAGGGGAGGCAGGUAUGUUUGCACAGAUGUGUGAUGGGGUGUGCAAAUAGUCUGAGGAGAGGGCGUGGUGCUGGUACAUUCCUGCUCCACCAGGUCCUUGGCGAUUCUGUAGACCCCUCCCCACCCUGACUUCCCACAUCAGCUAGAGGACAGGACUCUUGCUUCUACAAUUCUUGGGAAGUCCUUCCAUCUGUCUAGCCCUCCUCCCUUCUUUUCAGUUGCCAGCAGCCUCUCCUGAGCACCAGGGAAAUUAAGUGGCCUCCUGCAGCCCCGACUAUUCUCCUCACUUGCAUUGCAGGGAAUCUCUUAGCCCCAUCCUCAGAACUCCUAGUAAUGCUGUGAAAAUUAAGGCUACCUUAAAUAUUCUAAUCUUAUAACAAUUUUGCUCCAAUCAACAUGGAAACAUGCCCCAGACCACCCAGCAGCCUGGUUGGUGGUUUUGGGUCGGGGGUGAGCUCCUGAAGGGAUGGAGGGCAGAGGGCUGCUCUCGGCUUGGGCCUGGCUCUGGAGAGGCUCCCUGGGAGGAGGUCUGCAGGUCACUGGGUCUCUCCCAUGCUCUCUCCUGGCCUGCCCAUGCUGAGUCCCUUCCCCUUCCUCCCCUCCCCUCAGGCAGCCUGGGAAGCAUGGUAGGCCAUGGUUGGAGUCUCCUUAUACUCUCUCCUGAACUGUUGGGCUCAGGGGCUGAGGACUGGUGAUGCUCCACAGGCAAGUGGAGUCAGGGCAGGCUUCAUGGGUGGGUGUGCAGCCUAUGUAAUUGCACAGAGCUCCCUAUUCAGAAGGGCUUGAUUUAAUGUUUUAAUGAUUUAGUGCUGGGUCAUUUUGAAAUUCAUCAUAACUUUUUAAAAAGGGACUCUGCAUUUUCAUUUUGCACAGAGCCCCAUAAAUUAAGUACUGCUCCUGGUGGAGGCCCACACACCCCUCCCUCUAUAGGCCUUCUUCACUCCAUGUUCAGUCAACACCCAGUCAAUAAACAUACACUGAGCACCUACUCUGUGCUGAAAUGUAGUUCUAGAAGCUUGGGGAUACAACAAUGAACAACAUAGAUGUGGCCCUGAUUUUACAAAAUUGCUCUCUGAGUACACUCAGACAUUCACAUAACAACAUAGUAGUUUUGCAAGACGGUUUUCCUAAUAACAACCAUGUUAACCAUAACUGCCGAUUAGGGAACACUCAGCAUAUGCCAGGAAAUUUACAUACUUCAUCUUGUUUCAUCCUCAAAACAGUCAGCAAGGUAGACAUUAUUAUCCCCAUUUCCCAGAUAAAACCUGACAGUUUUUCACAGUUCAAAUCUUUUGUUCUAUGUCACAUAACUAAUAAGUAGCAGAGUCAGGGCUUGCCCUUGUCUCUCAUUUUCAACCUCUCCUCUCCUCCCGCCGCCACAUGCACAUUGCAUUCGGCUGCUUCAGCAUGGACAGAAGCUCCUAGCAUCUCCAUGUCCCCAGCCCCCAGGUCAGGGCUACAUUUUUGUUAAAGAAAAGGAUUCCCAUAUAGACACACUCCCCAAAGAACACAAGGAAACAGACGCUGGAACACAAGAACAUACACGUGACACAUACUGUACUAGAUAAAGAGUUUGGUGCCUAAUACCAGACUAUUUGGGUACAAGUCUUGAAUCUACUAGGUACUAGCUGUGUCAGUUUUCUCAUUGUCAAAAUGGAAAUAGUGGUAGGGUUGUUGUGAAUGCUAAAUGAAAAAUAACACAUGCAGGCCUUAGACCAGCACCAGCAGGCAGCAGCCUUCAGCGAACAUGAGCUGUUGCCAGGCAUUAGCACUUCUCCACAAGCACUCACACAUCCUCCCAGCCCUCCUCUGGCCCAGCUCAGUCCUAGGUGCCCCAUGGUGGACAAUCCAGGCUCCCAGAGCCAGGAGGGAAGAGCAGCUGCUUCUCUCUGCAUCCUCUGGAGCUAUACCUGGACUGGCCCGGGUGAAGGUGUGGGCUUGGGGUGCUGCUCCACAGCAGUGCUGUCUGGGUCCAUCAGGGAAGGCUUCCUGGAUGAGGCCACAGCCCCAGCCAGUUAAGUGAGCCAGGCUGAAGCAGGAGGGUGCUGCCCUUAGCCUUGGCUCCCUCCUCUGUUCCUCACAACCCUCCCUCCCACCUCUGUUGCAGCGCCCUCUCCACCCCUCUCCCCACAGUAGAAACUUUCCUCUCCUCCUGCCAGAAGGGUAAAUUGCCCCCAGGAAUGUGCUGCUAACCCACAGCUCCCCAAAUGUGCUGUGUUCCACAGGUCCCCUGGCAGUGGCCAAUGGCCAUCCUGAGGUCAGGCCUGGCCCUACAUCAAAGGCUGGGGAUGCGUAAGAGUGAGGCUCCUCGCCUGCCACCACCCUCUCUUCUCCCUCCCACCAGCCCUUUGGCUUCCAGGGAGCAGCACAUGGUAGCACUUAAGCUCUAGGACUCCGGAGGAUGCUUUUCCAACACCACCACCCCAGCCAUCCACAAUGAACUACUUGUUAGGAGACUCUUUUAAUUUUACGUAAUGUAAUUUCUGCUCUGGCCUCUGUUGCCACCUCCUUCUCAAACCUGAAUGCCCAGUACAGAUGUAGGGGUGGCCAAUCCACCAGGGGAAAGUGUAACCUCAAUGUGGAAGUGUCACUGGUGGGGGUCUGGGACAGGAACAGGACUUACAUUAAGGGAACAGGGCUGGUCUCCAUUCAGGAAGUAGAGAUUGAUUAGGGGAGGGCUCAGAGCUAGCCAAUGCGCUUUUUCCAGUGCCCUGGGUUCAGUAGGCAGACCCCCCAGCCUGAGAGCCCUGUGAGCUCUGCUUUCAAGUCCCAUGGGAGUGACUGGAGGAAGGGGCCACUUCCAGGUUCUGACCACCCUGAGAUUUGCUCCAUCAGGUGCAUCUUCUAGCAAAUUAUGAAAACCAGGGGGUCCAAUGAUUACUCAAUGGGACGACAGUACAGUGGUGAUUUGGAGACCCCUGGUGGCCAAAAGCUGCAGAGCGAGGCCUUUCCUUGGAGCCCCAGGCAAAGCCAUGUCCAAAGGCCAGCAGCAAGGGCCUUCUGCAGCCCCAGACCUCGUCUAGAACCCAGACUUCUGACCUCAUUAGUCAGCCACUCCCAUACAGGCCAGGCAUAACUGCCCCAUCUUGCUGGAGGGCGUGCCAGCACAUG